UGUCCCAUGGCUUAGUUGGUUACGGCGUCCGACUGUUAUGCGUUGUGAAACAUCGACAUCGGAAGAUCGAGAGUUCGAGUCUCUCUGGGACAG
RNAcentral lists this transfer RNA (93 nucleotides) under Laccaria amethystina LaAM-08-1. It matches the Rfam family "tRNA". Rfam says of the family: Transfer RNA (tRNA) molecules are approximately 80 nucleotides in length. Their secondary structure includes four short double-helical elements and three loops (D, anti-codon, and T loops). Lineage: Eukaryota; Fungi; Basidiomycota; Agaricomycetes; Agaricales; Hydnangiaceae. The record is from Rfam by way of RNAcentral.